Non-coding RNA from Acanthosepion pharaonis, 114 nucleotides. NCBI's taxonomy places the organism in Eukaryota, Metazoa, Mollusca, Cephalopoda, Sepiida, Sepiidae. The record is from the annotation of a GenBank genome assembly.
UUACGGCCAUACUAUGUUGAAACACAGGUUCCGCUAGGAUCACUGAAGUUAAGCAACAUCGAGCCUGGUCAGUACCUAGAUGGAUGACCGCUCGAGAAUACCCGGUGCUGUAAU